Molecule: ribosomal RNA, 252 nt
Filed under: uncultured bacterium
Lineage: Bacteria
Description: partial 16S ribosomal RNA
Rfam family: Bacterial small subunit ribosomal RNA
Source: RNAcentral
GAUCAUGGCUCAGGACGAACGCUGGCGGCGUGCUUAACACAUGCAAGUCGAACGGAAAGGCCUCUUGCUUGCAAGGGGUACUCGAGUGGCGAACGGGUGAGUAACACGUGGGUGAUCUGCCUUGCACUUCGGGAUAAGCCUGGGAAACUGGGUCUAAUACCGGAUAGGACCAUGCUUUAGUGUGUGUGGUGGAAAGUUUUUCGGUGCGAGAUGAGCCCGCGGCCUAUCAGUCUUGUUGGGUAGGGUAAUCGG